UCCACACCCAGCAGCAGCUGCACUCUGGGCAGGUCCUUGGGCCCAGGGCAUCCAUUCACUGCUGGCACCAUGCAGAGGGCGACUCCUGGGAUGUUUCAUUUAAUCCUCACAGCAGCACAGUUGUCAGACACCAAGCACACUCAGAGCCUGCACCAGUACACCUGCCUGGCAGUGGGUGUGGAAGAGCCAAAACUGCAAUCAAGACCCCUACCCCCACCGGCCAGGUUCUCAGCGCCCACUGGUCUACGUUCCAGCCUCCUGGAGUCCCUCUGAGUGUGUCUGUGGCUGCAGCUGGACCCAGUUUUGAAUUCUUUUCAAGUUUCAUUUCAAAUGGGAUUUCAGAAUAAAAACGACUACACCCUGCCCUUCCUUCUUCUUGGAUUCACAUGGCGCUGUUGGGGUGGUGGGGGCAGGAGGCUUUCCACCCGUCUUCAGCCCCCAGCUGCUCAGCCUCUCCAAA
This 460-nucleotide long non-coding RNA is filed under the name Homo sapiens (human). RNAcentral describes it as "HSALNT0272840". Lineage: Eukaryota; Metazoa; Chordata; Mammalia; Primates; Hominidae. The record is from RNAcentral.